UGGUUCAACUGAUUUGAAGAGCUUGCUCAGAUAUGACGAUGGACAUUGCAAAGAGUGGCGAACGGGUGAGUAACACGUGGGAAACCUACCUCUUAGCAGGGGAUAACAUUUGGAAACAGAUGCUAAUACCGUAUAACAAUAGCAACCGCAUGGUUGCUACUUAAAAGAUGGUUCUGCUAUCACUAAGAGAUGGUCCCGCGGUGCAUUAGUUAGUUGGUGAGGUAAUGGCUCACCAAGACGAUGAUGCAUAGCCGAGUUGAGAGACUGAUCGGCCACAAUGGGACUGAGACACGGCCCAUACUCCUACGGGAGGCAGCAGUAGGGAAUCUUCCACAAUGGGCGAAAGCCUGAUAGAGCAACGCCGCGUGUGUGAUGAAGGGUUUCGGCUCGUAAAACACUGUUGUAAGAGAAGAAUGACAUUGAGAGUAACUGUUCAAUGUGUGACGGUAUCUUACCAGAAAGGAACGGCUAAAUACGUG
RNAcentral lists this ribosomal RNA (479 nucleotides) under uncultured Weissella sp. RNAcentral's name for it is "bacterial SSU rRNA". It matches the Rfam family "Bacterial small subunit ribosomal RNA", at positions 59 to 507 of the family's 1533-position model. The record is from RNAcentral. Lineage: Bacteria; Bacillati; Bacillota; Bacilli; Lactobacillales; Lactobacillaceae.